GGACAUCUUCCAUGAUAGGAAAUAUACAUACAUGGAUGACAUAAUAGUCAAGUCCAAAAUGGGGAACAAUUCACAAGUCCUACGAUUAGUCUUUGAGAGGUUUAGAAAAGAUCAAUUUAGGUCAAUUUUUGAUCAUCUAAAUGAAGUCCCUACGAUGAGUAGUAGUUUUUGCUUAAAAGGAAAUUCACCGGAAAAGGGGGCUGCCUCCAAGAAUAGGUAUGCCGUCAUCGUCGUUGCCGUCUUCUUUUUUUUUUUAAUAUGAUAAGAAAAGAGGAAAAAAAUCUAUCCAAAGUUAUUAAGAAAAAAAGAUGGUACCAAAGAGAAAAUUUGAAGAAAAGCCUCCAACAUCCCAUCAAUAUUUGGAAUUCAAAUUCAAAUUUCUCCAAAUUCAAAUUUCUCCAAUGUUCAUUUGAAAUUGAAACCUUCCUAUGUAAUCAAAAUAUUUUGAAAUUUAAAAUCUCCAUCUUACAACCACAACGAGUAGAAUAUGGUUGACCAUCCAAUCGGUCAUCAUCGAAAGGAGAUAGAUAAGGGGCAUUCGGCCAAGCCUCGUCUAGCUAGCCACCAACAUUGGGCCAUGGUUGGAUCAGCUAAUGAUGACCUCAUCAAGAUCUCGAUGGCAUCGAGAGGAAGGGACUAAGAGAAGAGAUCCGGCGAUCAUCCAACACUUGGAAAGGAAGAGAGAGGAAGGGAGAAACCAUUUUUUACCCUUGGGUUAGAAGGGCAAGAAAGAAAAAAGAGGAAAAAAGAAACACCCAUGGGGUUGAAGUAGAAGGGAGAGAAGGGGGGUCUAGCCAACCAUACUGGAGGGAACAGCUCCAAAAAGAAAAAAAAAAAGAGUUUGGCGAUUAACUUAUUGCUAAGGAUGGCCGAUGACAACUCUGGUAGAGAGGGAGAUGUUUGGCCAGGGAUGGGCUGGCCAACACCUAGGUGUCAGAGAGGGAGAAAGAUGAAGAAAAAUCUAGAGCAGUGUGCAUGCUAGAACAAUAAAAAUUUUUAUGCAUCUUCUAGAUGUCAUCUCAUGAGAUCAUCCCUAUCAUGUUUUUAAGAUUUAUAUGCAGCAAAUAAAUUUAUAAAACAUAAGCAUGAAGAUUUCAUCUUCAUCUUUGCGCGGG
This 1115-nucleotide long non-coding RNA is filed under the name Elaeis guineensis (African oil palm). Its description in RNAcentral is "long non-coding RNA (EGUI_LNC073530)". The record is from RNAcentral. Lineage: Eukaryota; Viridiplantae; Streptophyta; Magnoliopsida; Arecales; Arecaceae.